This 1443-nucleotide long non-coding RNA is filed under the name Salvia miltiorrhiza (redroot sage). Its description in RNAcentral is "long non-coding RNA (SMIL_LNC008947)". Lineage: Eukaryota; Viridiplantae; Streptophyta; Magnoliopsida; Lamiales; Lamiaceae. The record is from RNAcentral.
UCAAAAUUGUGCUUCCACCAGUUCUUUCCUUUUCCCUUUUUGCUGGGAUUGGUUUCCACUUCCUCAACUGCUGAAUUCCCUUAUUUGAAUUGCUUUUCUUCUCAUUCAUUCCUUUUCCCUUUUUGCUAAGAUUGGGUUCAACUUCAACAGCUACUAAAUCCUCUGUUUCACUAUUUUCAUCUUCAACAUUAAUGUCAGAUUUUUUGUUUUUUGAGUCAACAACUACGCCGUCAUCGUUCUUCCCCACGAGCAAGCUCGUUAGCGCCACUAGUAGGGCCGCCUCGCCUCCAUGCUCUUCAGAAGCUCCUGUAUCUCUGCCAUGGCUUUAGAAUCAUACUCACUGCAAUCAAGGGCAGUAAUUAAUGAUUGGAGUUAAAACAAUAACAGAUAGUUUAAGUCUUAUGGGAUCUAACUAACAAUAAACAAACUGCAAUAAGGCUGGACCAUGAAAUAUAAUUAAUAGUUUUUGAAGAAAAAAUCAAAUAAACAGAACAAUAGACACAUGCCUGAGAGUUUGACAGUUAUGUAUAAUUUUGAAAAUCAGCAGUUUCUUUUGGAUUUAUGCUAUUAGGAGAGUCACAAUGUUAACCUUAUUUCAGUUAAAAAACAAAACCAAAAUCUGUAAAAGAAGAAUUGAACAGCCUAAACUCAUCUCUAUCAAGCAUUUUAUCAAACAGUUUUUGGGCCUAAACUCCAAUCACCAAAAUGGAGCAGAAGUCAAUGGUGGUGGUCAGAUUUAAUUAAUGCAGACAUGUCAAAGUGAUUAAAUAAAAAAACUGCAGAGAAUUGUGGUCACAUUUCUCAGGCCAUUCGAUUUCAUGAACAAGAGUAAUAAUGGUCUUGUAAAGAUGAUAUACAUAUGGAAUUUGUAAAUUUCAAUUCAACAAAACAUCCAAUAACACAAUUCUUUCAUAAAGAUGAAAUACAUUUUUUUUCGAAAAAAACCUAGCACAUACAAUCGUUUUUGUCUGCUCUCACAUUUUCAAAUAAAAAUCAACAUCAGGUUCGAUUCGCAAGAACGAUUUACGCACAUACCGUGUUGUCGAUUCCAUCGUGAAAAUUAUUCCUGGUAUUGCACAGCAAAACUUCCGUAUAGUUCUUCGUCGGCGAGAACAUCAACGUUUUUUUGUAGAGAAUGAUGAGUUGAAAGAAUCAGACGCCCAAAUUUAGGGUUGAUAAAAUUUGAAUUUGAGGGCAAAAUUGAGAUUUGGAUCCAUGAUAAUUUUGAUAGUUUGCGUAUCAGAGGGGGGGUGGCAUAUUCCUAAACGGGAUUCAUCUCUGUAAAGUGGCCCGGGCCCUUGCAUAAUGCUGGGCCGCCUGUGUUACGCGUGAAGGCACCAAACGAUCGUUUCUCACCAGAUUAAUAUGCUAAUACAACGUUAAACACUGCAGCAAACGUGCCCUGAGUGUUAUGAUAGAAUCGCCGUUUUAAUUAAAGCAAUC